Molecule: long non-coding RNA, 325 nt
Filed under: Manihot esculenta (cassava)
Lineage: Eukaryota; Viridiplantae; Streptophyta; Magnoliopsida; Malpighiales; Euphorbiaceae
Description: long non-coding RNA (MESC_LNC012415)
Source: RNAcentral
UGAAUCAGACCUGUCCUUAGCUCGAAUGGUGCUGUCAAUAGGGGAUAUUCAAUGCAUAAGGGUGCUUGAUCUCCUGCUGGUUCAGCCAACUCUCCGAGAGUUCUUUCCCGUGGCUGAGGUGCUUGAAUGGGCACGUUUCCAGCUUGAAUUUCAGCUUCUACAUGUGCAGCAGGUGGUGCUGCCAUUGCUGGAUUUUCUGCCAUGACCAGAAAUUCAGUUUCUGGUAAAAAUUCUGCUGUAGCAGGUGCGGUGAUGGAAGUUUCUGUUGGUGCAGAAAUUUCUUCAGCAGGGGCAGUAGGUGGUCUGUGAGGUGGAGUUGUUGAUG